This 500-nucleotide ribosomal RNA is filed under the name uncultured bacterium. Its description in RNAcentral is "partial 16S ribosomal RNA". It matches the Rfam family "Bacterial small subunit ribosomal RNA", at positions 30 to 523 of the family's 1533-position model. The record is from RNAcentral.
AUUGAACGCUGGCGGCAUGCCUUACACAUGCAAGUCGAACGGCAGCACGGGAGCAAUCCUGGUGGCGAGUGGCGAACGGGUGAGUAAUGCGUCGGAACGUGCCGAGUAGUGGGGGAUAACGCAGCGAAAGUUGUGCUAAUACCGCAUACGUACUGAGGUAGAAAGUGGGGGACCUUCGGGCCUCACGCUAUUCGAGCGGCCGACGUCUGAUUAGCUAGUAGGUGAGGUAAAGGUUCACCUAGGCGACGAUCAGUAGCGGGUCUGAGAGGACGACCCGCCACACUGGGACCGAGACACGGCCCAGACUCCUAGGGGAGGCAGCAGUGGGGAAUUUUGGACAAUGGGCGAAAGCCUGAUCCAGCCAUGCCGCGUGUCUGAAGAAGGCCUUCGGGUUGUAAAGGACUUUUGUCAGGGAGGAAAUCCCUAGUGCUAAUAACACUGGGGGAUGACAGUACCUGAAGAAUAAGCACCGGCUAACUACGUGCCAGCCGCCGCUGUAA